Molecule: ribosomal RNA, 370 nt
Filed under: uncultured organism
Description: bacterial SSU rRNA
Rfam family: Bacterial small subunit ribosomal RNA
Source: RNAcentral
CGGAGGUGGCAAGCGUUACUCGGAAUCAUUGGGUGUAAAGGGCAAGUAGGUGGUCUAAUAAGUGAGGGGUGAAAUCCUGCGUUUCAAGCGCAGAACUGCCUUUCAAACUGCUAGACUUGAGGAUGGAAGAGGAAAAUGGAAUUCUCGGUGUAAGGGUGAAAUCUGUAGAUAUCGAGAAGAACACCAGCGGCGAAGGCGAUUUUCUGGACCAUUCCUGACACUAAAUUGCGAAAGCUAGGGGAGCAAACAGAAUUAGAUACUCUGGUAGUCCUAGCCGUAAACGAUGAGCACUAGGUGUUGGUCCCUCACGGGAUCAGUGCCGUAGCUAACGCAUUAAGUGCUCCACCUGGGGACUACGGUCGCAAGGCUA